ACACAGGGACACAGAUGAGAUUGACUCCUGUCUCUUUAGGGGUUGAAUCUCAAUGCAAAGCUUUUAUUUUCUCAAAAACCCAUUGUCAUAGUAUUGGCCUCCAGCACAUAGGGCAGUGAGCCCCUUUAGGUUGAUACCACUGUUCCCUCCUAUGGGCGAUGUCAUUUAUCUUCAUUGGGCUCUACUAUCUUCAGAGGUUCUUCUUUUGUGGAAUUGCUUUCUGAUUUUUCAAAGUUCCAUGGCAUCAGUUUCUUCUAGUGGUUAAGAGUGGCCAGCAAGUCACCUUCUCAUGAAGGCUGUUUGUACACCCUCCUGGGGGCCAGAGCAAACUCUGCCAAGACACCAGCCAUGUUUUUGAGGCUUCUCUCCCAAGCAGACUCUGCAACCUCUCUGCAAGAAUGUGCAGACUAUAGCAUGUUUGUGGCAGCCUCACAUACUGAUCCUAGAGCACUUAUAUCUUCCUCAGUGUCAACUUCAAAACAACCUUUCUGUGAAGCUUUGUUAGAUCUAAUAGGAUGCAUGUCUCAUCGACAAAGUGAUUCAGAAAAUGCAAGCAGUCAUCUUCAUCACAGUCCUAUGGACUUCCAGGCUGAGGUGACACGCAGGGCAGGACUGACAGGUAGGCCAAAGUUCUGGGUAGAGAAGGUGGCACCAGGCAAAAGGUUUGGAAAUUGAGUGGAGGGCCUAGGACCAUUGCAGCCAGGAACUGAGAAAGCUGGGGUUGGGACUCGGGGAGAGGGAAGAUGUAGGCCAUAGACUGUAGUCUGACCGUGAGACUCAGGGGAGGAUGCGGUUGAGAGCAUGGAGAGGGUGUCCUUGGGAGAGGACCUAGGAAAUAAGCCUCCAUGAAAGGGCCCUGGAGCAGGAGCUGAAGCCUAAUUGACAUAUCAUCACCCCAUCCCUUCAUGCCCAGCCUCUCUCUGCUGGGAUCACUCCCUGGCAACCAGCUUUUUAUCAAUCCCCUCUACCUGGCUGGCAAAUCCUGAGCUUCACUCCAGGUGGUCACAAUCUGACCCUUGUGACCUCAUGCUUCCCCACCCCCAUUUGUGAAGUUCCAUCACAGGAAGUUCUUCUCCAGUGGCCCCUGAUCCAGGGAGACCCACCCUGCAACAGCCCUUGUCUCCCUCCGCCCUUGGUUCCUUCUCACCCAUCUCACCACCAUCUGCCCAGGGGAGCCACAUGUCCCAAAUUUUGGAGAGAAAAUAAUUGAGGCUCAUUUCCAGGACAGAGGGGCAAGCUGGGUCUAAAGAGCCAAGCAGAAAGGCUUCCCAAAAUCGCUAGGUUGGGAGGGGUCAGAGACGUGUGGCUGCCCCAGCUGUUCUGACUCUGCCCCAGCUUUUGGCUCCACCCCCUUAAAGCACCUUCAGAGGUUCCCAUGGCGACAGUAAACAAGUCUCCACUGCCUUGGCCAUGUGCUGUGUUCACCCCACUCCUGAUCUUGUUGGCUGCUCAGGGGCUGACAGCCCAGAUGUGCAGCUGUGAUGAGCAGAAACAGGGAGGAAUGGAGCCCCCAGCCAUUGUCAUCACUUCCUCAAGCUGUCUAAAUUCUGCCCAGCAGUCUGUGAAAAUGUUGUGCUGAUGACAUAUGUAAGGACUCUAACUCCCCUCAAACAAUCUGCUCACCUGAAAGGCUCACUCCUGUUGUAAUAAAUGACACAUAAGGUCACAAUUCAACCGGUACCCAUCUUGGAUACCACUUCUUAUGUAAACAUCAAAUAUACACCCUCUUCCCACACACUAAUGUAUCCUGUAUAUUUGAAAUAAAAGUUAGAGAUAUACAUACAGAGAUUUAAAAUCUAAAACUGUCCCCUCCCCAGUAAGUCAUGUAUCCGUUAAAAGAAUAUCUGGAAACCUCCAAAAGGAAGCCAAGCAUAGACUAUUUGGAAGAACUUGAAGGAGCGAGAGCUGACCCCAUCUUUGUACACUGGCAGCACAAGGACAACAAUCAACACGGAAGACUUCUGUGACCAAAUGUGUGCACGUUUCUCUCCAUACACCAAGCAAGCAAUCUAUUCUGCAGCAGACACCAACUGGAAGUCCUCCAAUUCAAUUCAAUUCUGACACUGUCUACCUGGAAAUGGCCUCAGCAACCACAGGUUGAGAGCUCAGUCCCACAAGAACACCUCCUCCUUCCAACCAGUUGAAACUCCACACCUCCAGAACUUCUCACUGACUGGCUUCGAGUUGAGGUUUCCACAGUCCUCUGUUUGAGUUUGAUUAAUUUGCUAGAGAAGUUCACAGAACACAAGGAAACACUUACUUAUGUUGAUCAAUUUAUCACAAAGGAUGUUUUAAAGGAUCCAAAUGGGGGCCAGGCACAGUGGCUCAUGCCUGUAAUCCCAGCACUUUGGGAGGCUGAGGCAGGCGGAUCAUGAGGUCAGGAGAUCAAGACCACCCUGGCUAACACGGUGAAACCCCGUCUCUACUUAAAAAAAAAAAAAAAAAUUAGCCGGGUGUGGUGGUGGGCACCUGUAGUCCCAGCUACUCAGGAGGCUGAGGCAGGAGAAUGGCAUGAACCCAGGAGGCAGAGCUUGCAGUGAGCGGAGAUUGCGCCUCUGCACUCCAGCCUGGGCAACAGACCAAGACUCUGUCUCAAAAAAAAUAAAUACAUAAAAUAAAAAAUAAAAAAUAAAUAAAUAAAUAAAUAAAUAAAGGAUCCAAAUGAAAAGCCAGAUGAAGAGAUAUAUAGUGUGAGGCCUGGAAGAGCACAGGAGCUUCUGUCCCUGUGGAGUUGGGGUGUGUCAUCCUCCUGGCACAUGACAGGUUCUUCUUCUGCUUCCUGUCAGCCUCCACAUGUUCAGCUCUCCAGAAGCUCUAUACAUCCUGUCCUUUCAGGCCUUUUAUGAAGACUCCAUUGGAUAGGCAAGAUAACAAACAUGUAGAAAUGUUAUUAGACCAAAGGGUAUGAUCUAUAAUAUCUAUUAUAAUGCCAAUAGACUGAGUGGGGAAACCCGGCAAGGCCUGUCUAUUCAGAUUCUUGUUAGCACCUCUGUGCAGCAUUCCUUCCUCCAGGGUAUGGCAGGACCUUUCUCAAAUGAGGAUCUUAUGGCCCACAAUCAGAAAGGCAGGGGAAGAUUAGAGGAGGGCAGGGGAAGGUCAGAGAGAGAGAUUAUAUUUUCUGAGGUCUGCUCCUGAGACUUAAAGCACUCCAACAUUAUAACAGAAGACUAUGGGAGUUAUGCCAACAACCAUGGAUGAAAACAUGUUUUAUAUAUAAUAUAUAUAUUAUAUAUAAUUAUAUAUUAUGUAUUAUUAUAUAUAAUUAUAUAUUAUAUAUAUUUUAUAUAUACUCGCAAGAGGUUAAUUCAGAAAAUUGCUACUGUGGUUGCUACUUUUUGUCCUUUAACAACCAAUUUAAAGUAAAAUUUUGACUGAAAUAGCAAUUGAUUUUUGAGAAAUGUCAGCAAUCGCAAUGAUAAUAAUUUUUUAGCCAUUAUCCCAAAGGAAACGAGUGAUGUUUUCAAAAUGUACUUCAAUCCUUCAGCAAUAAUCAGAUAAAUAAAUUUCCUGUAAAAUUAUAAUUAAAAGUAAAUGAUACUUUUAAUUUUUAUGGAUAAAUAAUAUUUGUACAUAUUUAUGAGAUUCAUGUGAUAUUUUGUUACAUGCAUACAAUAUAUAAUGGUCAAGACAGGGUAUUUAGGGCAACUGCUACCUUGAGUAUGUGUCAUGUUCUGUGUUUAUCAUUUGAAAUCUUCUUGCUAUUUUGAAAGACAAUACACUGUUGUUAACUAUAAUCACUCUACUAUGAUAUUGAACAGUAUAAUUUAUUCCUUUAUCUAACUGUAUGUUUGUACCCAUUAACUAACCUCUGUCCAUCUCCCGCACCCUUGCCAUACACACUCUUUUCAUCUUCUUGUAUCUAUUAUUCUCUUCUCUACCUCCAGGAGAUUAACAUUUUUAGCUCCCACACAUAUGUGAUGACUUGUAAUAUUUGUCUUUCUGUGCCUGGCUUUUUUCACUUAUGUUAAUGAACUCCAGUUCCAUUCAUGCUGCUGCAAAUGACACGAUUUCCUUAUUUUUAUUGCUGGAUAUUAUUCCAUUGUGUGUAUACGCUGCAUUUUUAUCCAUUGGUUUAUUGACGAACACUUAGGUUGAUUCCAUAUCUUUGCUAUUGUUAGUAGUGCUACGAUAAACAUGGGAGUGCAGAUAUCUUUUUGAAAUAUUGAUUUUGUUUUCUUUAUAUAAAUACCCAGUAGUGGUAUUUUUGAAUCAUAUGGUAGUUCUAUUUUUUGAUUUUACUAAUUUAUAUUCCCACCGGUAGUGUGUAAAAGUUCCCUUUUCUCCACAUCCUCACCAGCAUCUGUUAUUUUUUGUCUUUUUAAUAAUAGUCAUUCUAACUUAGGUAAGAGGAUAUCUAAAUUAUCUUUCAAUGAAAGGAAUGAGGGAUACAUUAAUAUUAGGCAUUGAUCUUCUUUUGACAGAAAAACAUCAAAAUGUUGUACAAAUUUGUAAGGAUUUGAUAAUAAAUUUUGGCAGAUGUCCAAUAUCAAGAUCACCAACCACUUCAUUAAUAAUUGUUGUUAAGUCAUGGAACUUGUCUGCAGAAAUUGUAUUCUUCCAAGCUUCUAACUGAGGAUUUUGCCCUUCAACCUUAUCUGCUGUGAAAAGACAUGUUUUUUUUUGCAAAGCAAUAUUAAGAUAAUUGAAAUAUCCAAAAUACUAGACAAAUGAGAAAGAUUCGUUGUCCAAUUUCAUCUUAAAGUCAAUAUCAAAUUGGUUGCUUACCUUGGAAACACUGAGAUUGUUCUAUAGUUCAACAGUUCUCCACCAAACUUUUACCCUCAAUAAAGAUGUACUUCCACAUACAUUAACAGUUGUUUUUAGUCAGCUUUCACAUUAUUGCCUAUAAAAAAAUUAAAGUUAUUACCCUUAUGGAAUGAUUACAUUUUACAAUUUCUCUAAGCAUAAUGUUUAGUUCAACAAGAUUUUUUGCUUUUCUAUAUAUAACAAAAAUUUCUCAAUGAAGCAAACAUUACAUUGAUUUAUAAUCUAUCGCAAGCUUCUUAAUCUGACUAAUUAUUUCAGAACAUGCCCCUACUGUGCUCAACAAUUACAUAGUUCCUGCCAUUUGUGACUCAUCAUGUGAAUUUGACCUGUUCUGUAACUCUUUCAAUAAA
RNAcentral lists this long non-coding RNA (5117 nucleotides) under Homo sapiens (human). RNAcentral describes it as "HSALNT0264581". The record is from RNAcentral. Lineage: Eukaryota; Metazoa; Chordata; Mammalia; Primates; Hominidae.